This 460-nucleotide ribosomal RNA is filed under the name uncultured bacterium. Its description in RNAcentral is "partial 16S ribosomal RNA". It matches the Rfam family "Bacterial small subunit ribosomal RNA", at positions 338 to 795 of the family's 1533-position model. The record is from RNAcentral.
CCUACGGGAGGCAGCAGUGAGGAAUAUUGGUCAAUGGGCGUAAGCCUGAACCAGCCAAGUCGCGUGAGGGAUGAAGGUUCUAUGGAUCGUAAACCUCUUUUAUAAGGGAAUAAAGUGUGGGACGUGUCCUAUUUUGUAUGUACCUUAUGAAUAAGGCUCGGCUAACUCCGUGCCAGCAUCCGCGGUAAUACGGAGGAUCCGAGCGUUAUCCGGAUUUAUUGGGUUUAAGGGGUGCGUAGGCGGCCUUUUAAGUUAGCGGUGAAAGUCUGUGGCGCAACCAUAGAAUUGCCGUUGAAACUGGGGGGCUUGAGUAUGUUUGAGGCAGGAGGAAUGCGUGGUGUAGCGGUGAAAUGCUUAGAUAUCACGCAGAACCCCGAUUGCGAAGGCAGCCUGCCAAGCCAUGACUGACGCUGAUGCACGAAAGCGUGGGGAUCAAACAGGAUUAGAUACCCUAGUAGUC